GAUGCUGUGGCUUAAUUGGUUAAAGUGCCUGUCUAGUAAACAGGAGCUCUUGGGUUCGAAUCCCAGCAGAGCUU
Astyanax mexicanus (Mexican tetra) is the source of this 74-nucleotide transfer RNA. It matches the Rfam family "tRNA". From Rfam's summary of the family: Transfer RNA (tRNA) molecules are approximately 80 nucleotides in length. The record is from Rfam. Lineage: Eukaryota; Metazoa; Chordata; Actinopteri; Characiformes; Acestrorhamphidae.